Molecule: ribosomal RNA, 492 nt
Filed under: uncultured bacterium
Lineage: Bacteria
Description: partial 16S ribosomal RNA
Rfam family: Bacterial small subunit ribosomal RNA
Source: RNAcentral
AGUGAACGCUGGCGGUAGGCCUAACACAUGCAAGUCGAACGGCAGCACACUAAUAUCUUGCGCUUACGGGUGGCUAGUGGCUGACGGGUGAGGCAUCCAUCCGGAACUACUCUUUCGUGCUGGAUCUCGUAGGGAAACUUACGCUAAUACCGCAUACUACCUACGGGUGAAUGCACGGGAUCUUCGUUCCUUGCGCGAUUGAAUGAGCCGAGGUCGGGUUAGCUAGUUGGCGGGGUACUGGCCUACCAAGGCGACGAGCCGUAGCUGGUCUGAGAGGAUGAUCAGCAACACUGGCAGAGAGACACGGCCCAGACACCGACGGGGAGAAGCAGUGGGGAAUAUUGGACGAGGGGGGAGAGCGUGAUACAGCAAUACCGCGUGGGGGAAGAAGGCGUUCGGGUGGGAGAGCCCUGAUGUUGGGAGAGAAGAGCAGCAGGUUAGUACGGGGCGGUACUGACGGUACCGAAAGAAUAAGCACCGGCUAACUUCGUG